GCUUGCUCCCUGAUGUUAGCGGCGGACGGGUGAGUAACACGUGGGUAACCUGCCUGUAAGACUGGGAUAACUCCGGGAAACCGGGGCUAAUACCGGAUGCUUGUUUGAACCGCAUGGUUCAGACAUAAAAGGUGGCUUCGUGCUACCACUUACAGAUGGACCCGCGGCGCAUUAGCUAGUUGGUGAGGUAACGGCUCACCAAGGCGACGAUGCGUAGCCGACCUGAGAGGGUGAUCGGCCACACUGGGACUGAGACACGGCCCAGACUCCUACGGGAGGCAGCAGUAGGGAAUCUUCCGCAAUGGACGAAAGUCUGACGGAGCAACGCCGCGUGAGUGAUGAAGGUUUUCGGAUCGUAAAGCUCUGUUGUUAGGGAAGAACAAGUGCCGUUCAAAUAGGGCGGCACCUUGACGGUACCUAACCAGAAAGCCACGGCUAACUACGUGCCAGCAGCCGCGGUAAUACGUAGGUGGCAAGCGUUGUCCGGAAUUAUUGGGCGUAAAGGGCUCGCAGGCGGUUUCUUAAGUCUGAUGUGAAAGCCCCCGGCUCAACCGGGGAGGGUCAUUGGAAACUGGGG
Molecule: ribosomal RNA, 577 nt
Filed under: Bacillus sp. (in: firmicutes)
Lineage: Bacteria; Bacillati; Bacillota; Bacilli; Caryophanales; Bacillaceae
Description: bacterial SSU rRNA
Rfam family: Bacterial small subunit ribosomal RNA
Source: RNAcentral